Molecule: ribosomal RNA, 447 nt
Filed under: uncultured organism
Description: partial 16S ribosomal RNA
Rfam family: Bacterial small subunit ribosomal RNA
Source: RNAcentral
ACACUCCUGCGGGAGGCAGCAGUGGGGAAUAUUGGACAAUGGGCGCAAGCCUGAUCCAGCCAUGCCGCGUGAGUGAUGAAGGCCCUAGGGUUGUAAAGCUCUUUCACCGGUGAAGAUAAUGACGGUAACCGGAGAAGAAGCCCCGGCUAACUUCGUGCCAGCAGCCGCGGUAAUACGAAGGGGGCUAGCGUUGUUCGGAUUUACUGGGCGUAAAGCGCACGUAGGCGGACUAUUAAGUCAGGGGUGAAAUCCCGGGGCUCAACCCCGGAACUGCCUUUGAUACUGGUAGUCUUGAGUUCGAGAGAGGUGAGUGGAAUUCCGAGUGUAGAGGUGAAAUUCGUAGAUAUUCGGAGGAACACCAGUGGCGAAGGCGGCUCACUGGCUCGAUACUGACGCUGAGGUGCGAAAGCGUGGGGAACAAACAGGAUUAGAUACCCGAGUAGUCCC